RNAcentral lists this long non-coding RNA (1201 nucleotides) under Homo sapiens (human). RNAcentral describes it as "HSALNT0133149". Lineage: Eukaryota; Metazoa; Chordata; Mammalia; Primates; Hominidae. The record is from RNAcentral.
GCAGUGAGCCGAGAUGGCACUACUGCACUCUAGCCUGGGUGACAAAGCAAGACUCUGUCUCGAAAAAAAAAUAUUGAAGCAGAUUACUCAACUAAUUGCCAACCCAUCAGGGGACCUGAUAGUGUAAAAUCUUUCAUAACUAAAGUACAGGUGUAAAAACUAACAUUCAGAGCAGGCAAGACAUUUUCCCAGGACCACACAACUCAUCAGUGUGCAAAACUGGGAUUCAAACACAGAUCUAGCCACUCCCUUUCUGCUUCCUGAUCUGUAACAUGAAGCCUCAGUCUCUCUCAGAGCACUGCUGGAACAGGAAGGGGAACAGGUGAACUGCAGCUUUCUGGAGAUGUGGAGUCAGGUUAGAAAAGCAUGGGUCAGGAUGUCAGGAGAAAUUUUCCCUUCAAACCGGACCAUGAGGCAGGGAUCCUUAAGCUCAUAGCCUGGGACUUUGACAGGACCUGACAGGUUGAACCUCGUCUGAGAAAUUCCCUUCCCAGUAUCUGGGCAGGAGAUCUCUAGCUUCUGUCUGGUUUCCCCCACAGGUUAGCACUGCUCAGCUCUGCUCAACUGGGGAGCUAGACAAGAGAGGAACUGAGAAGAAGGAGAAGCUGCAGAAGAAACUGACCUUUCUUUCAACUGCCCUGGAGUUAGCUCACUCCCAGAGGGAUAAAAGACCUUGAAUCAAAGUCUUUGGGCUGCAUUUGAUGGUGCUUUUCCUCCCACAACCUCAGGGGCAGGCUGACUCCCAGGUGCCUGGCUGGCUCCAACCUGAGUCCUGACAGGUGCAACCUGUAUCUUGAUGGCCUUCGAUGGGCCUGGAAAAGGGCAGAAGGAGUACAAAUGUUGCUGGUGUCUCAGGUCUCUUUCACAGACCAAAACCUCCCUGGACUAGGGAAAGGCGUUUAUUGGAUUUGGCAGAUUAUCGAAAGCCUUACACCCUCUCCGUGUACACUCACGAGGCCCUGUCAUCUGCAGCUGCAGCUGGGCCUCCUGACACUGAGCAGGUGUUCUGUGUAGAAUGCGCCCUUCACACACACCAGAAAUCAGUGGCUUUCUGACUUUAAAAGUAGAUGUCUUGUGGGCUUGGUAACCACAACCUAAAUGGUUUCUAGGGAAUGCAGCCAAAUCAACUUUCUGAACUUCUAUUUGCUGGGUUUGUUUCAUCUCAAAUGCUGAGAACUGUGAGCCAGGCCGAAAUAUAAAA